CAGGUUGAAGGUUGGGUAACACUAACUGGAGGACCGAACCGACUAAUGUUGAAAAAUUAGCGGAUGACCUGUGGCUGGGGGUGAAAGGCCAAUCAAACCGGGAGAUAGCUGGUUCUCCCCGAAAGCUAUUUAGGUAGCGCCUCGUGAAUUCAUCUCCGGGGGUAGAGCACUGUUUCGGCUAGGGGGCCAUCCCGGCUUACCAACCCGAUGCAAACUGCGAAUACCGGAGAAUGUUAUCACGGGAGACACACGGCGGGUGCUAACGUCCGUCGUGAAGAGGGAAACAACCCAGACCGCCAGCUAAGGUCCCAAAGUCAUGGUUAAGUGGGAAACGAUGUGGGAAGGCCCAGACAGCCAGGAUGUUGGCUUAGAAGCAGCCAUCAUUUAAAGAAAGCGUAAUAGCUCACUGGUCGAGUCGGCCUGCGCGGAAGAUGUAACGGGGCUAAACCAUGCACCGAAGCUGCGGCAGCGACACUGUGUGUUGUUGGGUA
Molecule: ribosomal RNA, 491 nt
Filed under: Salmonella enterica subsp. enterica serovar Enteritidis
Lineage: Bacteria; Pseudomonadati; Pseudomonadota; Gammaproteobacteria; Enterobacterales; Enterobacteriaceae
Description: partial 23S ribosomal RNA
Rfam family: Bacterial large subunit ribosomal RNA
Source: RNAcentral